CCUACGGGAGGCAGCAGUGGGGAAUAUUGCACAAUGGGCGCAAGCCUGAUGCAGCAACGCCGCGUGAGGGACGACGGCCUUCGGGUUGAAACCUCUUUUAGCAGGGAAGCGGUACCUGCAGAAAAAGCGCCGGCUAACUACGUGCCAGCAGCCGCGGUAAUACGUAGGGCGCAAGCGUUAUCCGGAAUUAUUGGGCGUAAAGAGCUCGUAGGCGGUUUGUCGCGUCUGCUGUGAAAUCCGGAGGCUCAACCUCCGGCCUGCAGUGGGUACGGGCAGACUAGAGGGCGGUAGGGGAGAUUGGAAUUCCUGGUGUAGCGGUGGAAUGCGCAGAUAUCAGGAGGAACACCGAUGGCGAAGGCAGAUCUCUGGGCCGUACUGACGCUGAGGAGCGAAAGGGUGGGGAGCAAACAGGCUUAGAUACCCUUGUAGUC
Molecule: ribosomal RNA, 431 nt
Filed under: uncultured bacterium
Lineage: Bacteria
Description: partial 16S ribosomal RNA
Rfam family: Bacterial small subunit ribosomal RNA
Source: RNAcentral